GGUCAAGUCCUAUGCAACGUGCGUUUUCCGAACUCCGCCAGGUCCGGAAGGAAGCAACGGUAGGAAGAAUAGCGCGUGUGACAUGGGGUAGCUUGGCCUCU
This 101-nucleotide signal recognition particle RNA is filed under the name Ignavibacteria bacterium. Its description in RNAcentral is "signal recognition particle sRNA small type". It matches the Rfam family "Bacterial small signal recognition particle RNA". Rfam says of the family: The signal recognition particle (SRP) is a universally conserved ribonucleoprotein involved in the co-translational targeting of proteins to membranes. Archaeal SRP consists of a 7S RNA and homologues of the eukaryotic SRP19 and SRP54 proteins. Lineage: Bacteria; Pseudomonadati; Ignavibacteriota; Ignavibacteria. The record is from RNAcentral.